This 468-nucleotide ribosomal RNA is filed under the name uncultured bacterium. RNAcentral describes it as "partial 16S ribosomal RNA". It matches the Rfam family "Bacterial small subunit ribosomal RNA", at positions 28 to 507 of the family's 1533-position model. The record is from RNAcentral.
GACGAACGCUGGCGGCGUGCUUAACACAUGCAAGUCGAACGGAAAGGCCCUGCUUUUGUGGGGUGCUCGAGUGGCGAACGGGUGAGUAACACGUGAGUAACCUGCCCUUGACUUUGGGAUAACUUCAGGAAACUGGGGCUAAUACCGGAUAGGAGCUCCUGCUGCAUGGUGGGGGUUGGAAAGUUUCGGCGGUUGGGGAUGGACUCGCGGCUUAUCAGCUUGUUGGUGGGGUAGUGGCUUACCAAGGCUUUGACGGCUAGCCGGCCUGAGAGGGUGAACGGCCACAUGGGGACUGAGAUACGGCCCAGACUCCUACGGGAGGCAGCAGUGGGGAAUAUUGCACAAUGGGCGGAAGCCUGAUGCAGCAACGCCGCGUGCGGGAUGACGGCCUUCGGGUUGUAAACCGCUUUCGCCUGUGACGAAGCGUGAGUGACGGUAAUGGGUAAAGAAGCACCGGCUAACUACGUG